This 443-nucleotide ribosomal RNA is filed under the name uncultured bacterium. RNAcentral describes it as "bacterial SSU rRNA". It matches the Rfam family "Bacterial small subunit ribosomal RNA", at positions 335 to 792 of the family's 1533-position model. The record is from RNAcentral.
ACUCCUACGGGAGGCAGCAGUGGGGAAUAUUGCACAAUGGGCGCAAGCCUGAUGCAGCAACGCCGUGUGAGUGAAGAAGGUUUUCGGAUCGUAAAACUCUGUCCUAAGGGAAGAAACAAAUGACGGUACCUUAGGAGGAAGCCCCGGCUAACUACGUGCCAGCAGCCGCGGUAAUACGUAGGGGGCAAGCGUUAUCCGGAAUCACUGGGGCGUAAAGGGUGCGUAGGCGGCUUAGCAAGCCAGGGGUGAAAGGCAUUGGCUCAACCAAUGUAAGCCUUUGGAACUGUUAAGCUUGAGUGCAGGAGAGGUAAGUGGAAUUCCUAGUGUAGAGGUGAAAUUCGUAGAUAUUAGGAGGAACACCAGUGGCGAAGGCGACUUACUGGACUGUAACUGACGCUGAUGCACGAAAGCGUGGGUAGCGAACAGGAUUAGAUACCCUGGUA